Long non-coding RNA from Oxyura jamaicensis (ruddy duck), 5565 nucleotides. RefSeq lists it as uncharacterized. The record is from RefSeq and is a predicted model, not a curated record. Lineage: Eukaryota; Metazoa; Chordata; Aves; Anseriformes; Anatidae. The transcript is spliced from 2 exons.
UAUAUAGAAUCAAAGAAUGUAGUGCUAUGUUAAACAUCGCAUUUUUAGCUACAACAGUAUUCCAAAGUCUGCAUAGCCCACUGCUUGUGCACACUGUUUCCAAGCUACUGCUUGUUGGCAAGCCAUUGUGCAUCUUAAAAUUUUCUGAGCAUGCUGUUUAAGAAUAACUGUGCUCCUUAAAUGUCAUUCUCUUUUGCGUUUGUCAAACAUGCUAGUGGUGUGGGUGAAUUUGGUCUGCAGCCUUCUUUUGUGCUAACAUUAGAUAGUUUCUGUACAUCCUACAAGGUCUGUCUUGCCAGCUUAUGUACUUACUCUGCUUAUUUACAGCAUGCCAGUGUACCUGAAACUGCUCCCAGAAGUCAUCAGUCUCACUUUGUACCAUAUUCGAUUAAGAGCUGUGUACCCACAAUAUUUAGCAUCCUGUAUUCAUUCUGUCUUCUCCCGGGAUCAGAAGGCCACAGGCUAGCAGAAGGAGGAGAAAGAAGGCAUAGCCUCAGCUGCAGGAGAACUGAGGAGACACAGGUAGCAUGAUGGAGAGACAGUUCAGCAAGAGUUUACUGAUGCAAAACCAUUAACGUAUAAGGGAAAAGUAGUACAAUAUUAGACUAAAUAUAGCGUGACAAUUCCCAUUUUUAUCUGCCUUUGUAGUGCAAAUGAUUCUUCAUGAUACGUAUCUGGAUCUUUCAGUUACUUCAGCAUACAUAUGUAAUAGGAGGAUCGUCAGGGUUUAGAAUGGAAGUGAGAAGGUUGUCUUUCCAACCAAAUCUUUCGAAACCCAAUGCUGGCAGUUGUCAGGUGUAUUAACAUUUCUCUGCAGUGCUCUUGGUGCGUUUUUGUGAUAGGAAUGUAGAGAAAAUGACACAUUUGCUAUUUUUUGUCUCCAUCUUUUAGGCGGCUGCUUUUGCCAGUGGUGAUUCCUUGCAUAUAGCUGCUAAAAUUUCUUACUAAUCCUGCAUGGUGUGCUCUCCUCGGAGCUGGACCUUUUUAAAAAAUUCCAACAACUGCAUAUGUUUGACGGGCUUGUAUUUGUACAAACAACUUUGUAGUGACUCUGCCCAGACUGAACUAGUGAUUUGGUUAAAGCAUGUUUGGAAGAGAAAGAACAUGUGGCUCCCACGUAUGGGAGAACUGACAGGACGUUGUUUGGUCUCAUUAACAACUUGCCAAGACCUUGAAGGCUGUACUCACUUAGCUGGAAUCUGAGAACUUGUAAAGUGGUGAUGUGUAGCCUCAGCCUGUAAUGAGUCAUGUUGAGAUUGUCUCAAAGCAGCAUGCAAUGCCAUGUGCUCAGAUUAAAAUGAGCACUGCAUGCUGAGCCAUGGAGUGCCAGGCACUUAACUACCCCUGAUCUGUCUACUUUAUUGAUUUGUUUUUCCUUUUAAGGUUGGUUGCCUGGUUCAUGCGAGAAUCUGCUGUGCUCUGGCUGUCCUCAAAGCUUGAAAUCUAUCAUCCAUUCUGGCUACUAGUGACCGAAACUAGGACAAUUCAAAGUUUCCCUAGAGGAAGGGAUAGAUGCUUCUUGAAUGCAACAGUUCUGGAGAGAUGAGAAAAUCUUCCAAAAAUCCAUGCAUUUUUGCAGGGGCUGUUCUACAGCUUUGUACAACACUGGCAGCAGGAGGAGAGUAUUUUCCUCUUGAAUCCUAAACUAGGGUGAUUGGCAGUAUUCUUGCCUGAUCUAACCGUCAUCAGGGGUUCCCUACCUGUACUGUAGAAAAGGCUAAUCCAGAUUUUGAUUGUUUUUCAUUGCUCCCUCAAAACCAGAAUUGAUUUUUGUCUAUUUUAUCUACAGCAACAACUCUGCUCUUUAAUGGUGUUGUGUAAAAUGUAGCCCAUCAGGCAAACAACUAAGCACUUAAAAGCUAUCUUAGAUUAGUAAGGGGUAUAGCUACCUGGCUAGUUAACACAUUCUUUUGCUGUUCGUGACAGUGUCUCCUUGCUUUGGUAUUCAGUUAGGAGGAAUAUUGCUCAAAUAUCUGUCCCAGACAAAUCUGACAGUUGUUGUGGAUCAAUUUUGACUGUAAAUCUGCUCUGGCUGAGCAGUAUAAUAUACUGAAGAGAUGCACAGAUGAACGUAAAACGAAGCCUUUCAAAAAUAUUUUCUUUAAAAAAUACAAAAUCAGAUCACUGCAGAAUACUGCUUAAAUUCACCCAUAUAGCACAAACCUUACAGACAAGCGAGGUCAAAAGCUACACAGAUCAGGCCAUUACUUGGCUUCCUGGCGUCUCUGUGUGUGUUGAGAGAAAUGGAAAGUUAACUUCCACUGUGUUAGCUGUUGUAGGGUUUGUUUUUCAUGAAUGGGCUAUAUUUGUAUUUAGCCCCUUUUAAACUUGAGUCCUACAGAAUAUUUAAUGUUUAGCAUAGGAAGAGGUAUGGGGCUCAUGGUGGAGGGAAGAUAAUACAAAGAGCGAAACAAACACGGGACACUGUUGCCUUUAUUUUCGUAGUGGUACUUAAACCAAGAAUUCCCAUGGCUUAAUCAGAAACAUAUUUGUGAAGUGUAUUGUGUGAAGUCAAGGAACCAAAUACUAGCCAUUCAAUCUUCACAGCAUAUACUCUACUGCAAUCCAGUGUAGGCGGGUAUUUAAUGUUAAGAAAUUACUAAGUAGGUAUUUUAUCUGAUGUUAGGGGGAAAAAAAAAAAUCAAGCACACUGGAGGAGUCACUGAGGACAAGCCUUUGUCUUUGAAAUUUACGUGUGCUUGUUUACCUUGCUUUCUUUCUGUCUUUCUGCAGAACAAAAAUUGAAAAAAAAAAAUAAAUAAAUAAAUAAAGGCAACUAUCUUUGAGGCACAAACUGAAAUUCAGGCUGGAGUGCUGCUUACCUUGCUGCUCUAUAUGUAGUCCCAGAGUACCCUGAAAGAGACAUUUCUAGUCUAUCUUAUCUGCUGGCAGGAUUUGAGAGUUUAAAUUCAGAUGUUUCUAUGUUUUGGGCACUGUUCCCAGGCAUCACAAAGCAAGUUAUUGCUUCUAGACGUGUCGUAAUAAAACAACCUCCUAUUGUAGUGGGUGGCGAGGAAGGAGGACAGUGAAGGCUUCAGAUAGUCAACCUCCUUGAUUUUCCCCUCCCUGUUUUUAAUUAUGGAACAGAUGUUUUGGGGGUUGUUUGUUCUUUUUUUUGUUUUUGGUUUUUUUUUUGCUUUGUUUUGUUUUAAGAUUUCUAUGCUGCUAUAAAGUAUUGCUGAAUUCAGAAAGUUUUGCAUGCAUGUCCCUUAUUAAACUGCACGGUGUUCACAUUUAAAUAGGUUUAUCUGCCUCUUUUUCAUGUUUUAUUUAUCGCUUCCUUAUAUUUCAUAAGGAGAUUUUUUUUUUGUCAGGGAUUUUUUUUGCAUCAGGGACUAGUCUGUUACACAGUGCUGAGGUAUUUCUGUCUGUUAAUAUGAACAAGAAAUCUGGCUAUAAAUGGUUGGCAUCUGUGUGUUUUAAAAGGUUUAAUCAGAACUGCUGUAAUGAGACACAUAGAUAAUCUUUAAAUCUAUAGCUAAGCCAAUUUAGAGGCAUCUUUUUGGCUACAAAUCACAUUAAAAACUAUUUCCCUACAAGUGAGAACAGUUGUUUUACAAUAUAAUCCUCUUAAUUGAAAACCUGUUGUUGGAAUAAAUAACGAAAGAAUGAACUCUUGUAUGCUUCAUUUUGUGUGCUUAAGUCUAAAUUUUGACCAUGCAAAUCGUACUGUUGCUUGCUGUGCACCAAACCAAAGCUUGUUAUGUAGUGAACUCGUAGGACUGCUUGCUUUCGAGUGUGCCCCUCAUCAUCUUUGGAGAAGUUGCCAUUGGCUGCUCAUCUAAGGGAGGAAUUUAAGAUGAGGUAGGAAUGUAUGAAAACUUGUAAAAUGCUUGAUACUGCUUUUCAUUAUUUGUGCUCUUUAAUUCUUUCGUUAGAAAAAUGUCCUGCCUUAUGCCCUUGAGAAUGUUUUGUUUUUGUGUGUGUGUGUGGUUUUUGUUCUUUUGUUUAGUUUUUGUCUUGUAACCUCUAGUUUUGCAAAGGAGGGUUUAUAUUAAAGGAAAAAUGCUGGAAAUAAGCAGUGCUUCCAUGUGGGGAGAAAACAUACCAAAGCUUAGUCUAAAUUUUAGGGCGCUACAGUCAUCAUUCUCUGCCAGUAAAAAUACUUGAAGCUUGAGAGGGAACUUAAUACACUCUGUCCUUUGUUAUUCUAAAAGAAUAGCUAUGAUGGCAUGAGGGCAGCAGAUGGGAUUUUUAGUGAUUACCCAGUGCAUUACAAAUGUAAAAGAUAUUGGAGGUACAUUUGUAUUAUCGUUACAAAGCCUAGUCAUGCUUUGAAACUACUGGUCAAGUUAUUGGCUUCAGGGAGAGCAAGACUCACCUCUGGGUGGGCUGGCUUGCUUCAGAGUCUGCAGCAAGGCCUCUCUGUUACGCUUCUGCAGAUGUAGCCUGUCCUGCUUUGUAUCUUUUCCGAGCCCUGGAGUACACAGUGCAUAUCUCAUCAGACUUGUGUAUUUCUCCUCAGUUAAAUAUAGACCUAUCAAACGUUCACAUGUCAGCAGUGCGUAGCGAGGUAAUUGUAAUUAACAACUUCUACUUUUCUUCUGUCUUUAAUUCCCUGCUUCGAUUGUCACUAUUAAUCAUUUUCACCAAAAAGAAACUGAGAACUCCUUUGUUAGUUUCGUUAUUUUUACACUCCUGUGUGUGGUAAGCACAAAAGUGACUUUGAUUCUGCUUCUGGGGUGUAGUUCGGUGCUGCAGAUCGAGCAGCUCUGGCAGCUUCCUGAUGACAGUCUCGUUCCGUCAGAAGUGGUUUGCUCUUUCCACUUUCAAAGCUCCGUUAACGUGAUUUUAUUUUUUGAAGUGUAAAGAUGUAUUUUUUUCUGUAAUUAGAAAGGAAGGAAAACAGUAAGAAAAGGAAGGCAUGAACUUUAGAGCAAAAAAAAAAUCUUAAUAAAAGCACAAUAAGUUAUAAUUAAAGUGAGCAGAACAGCAAGAUCUGCUAAAGAUAGGUCUCUUUUUUAGUUUCUGCUCAAGCUAUUGCUUUUAAAAGUAAUCUUAAAAUAACUGGCAUGUUUUUUUCCCCUUAGCAAAUGUGUAAUUCUAAAGAAUGUUAAUUUCUUUUGCAACCAAAUAUCCACUCAUAUGUGAUCAGAAUAGCACGGUGGUGGUUAAUAGCUUACAAGAUCUUUACAAAAUGAUCUGUUCACCUUGAAACGUCAAGGUAAUUGGGAUGUGUGGUGUGUAAUCACCAGAGUUAGUGCUGUGAAAGUCAAAGCCCACAUUUUAGAUGUUGUCUGAAGGAUGCUCCCUCAAACAGCAUUUCCCCAUAACGCUGCCCUGGCUUUCUGGAGCAAGCACCCCCAGAAUUUUCACAUGAUCUAAUAAGUGCAUUAAUUAUUAUUCAUUUUCAUAGCUAAAGUGAUAAUAUACCACCCUCUUUAAUUGUUUGACUCAUGUCUUUUUGCAUCUGCAUAAGCAGCAACUAGCAAAAGGAAAAAGAAGGCUACUUACUGGUGCGCUGCUCCGGAGAUGUCUAGAGAUGAGGCUGUUCACCUGCAUUCAGGGAAUCAAACCUCUCUCCAUUGAGCUCAGUGAUACGUCAUUCCUGCUACCAAAAAAAAA